RNAcentral lists this long non-coding RNA (424 nucleotides) under Vitis vinifera (wine grape). Its description in RNAcentral is "long non-coding RNA (VVIN_LNC002398)". Lineage: Eukaryota; Viridiplantae; Streptophyta; Magnoliopsida; Vitales; Vitaceae. The record is from RNAcentral.
CGAUGGGCUGCAUGUGGUGAGUUAUGGGUGAGUUGUGAGGAUAUGCGAGCUGCAUGGUGGUGGUGGGAAGGUGGCUACAAUUGCACUUAUGUCUUUGGGCACCCAAUCACCUUGGUACUUCAGGCAUUAAGCACCCUUGCCUUUCUUCCUCUUAAUCUUCCUCGUGUAGAACUCCAGCUUCUUGUCUUCCAAAAUGUAUUCAUCGGCUCCGCCACGUUGACCUAUGGAUGAUAUCGACCGAGUCUAUGAGUUUGUGUGCAAGGUUAAAGAGACCUUCCCAACUCUGAUUCGACGAUAUGUUCCUGAUAUCACUACCAUUCCCCUUCACCAAGGAAUGGUGUGGCUACCAACCUGGAAAGCUCUUCCAAGUUACCCUGUUCUAUCGGAUCUCUGGAUGAGAUAUGGAAGACACAAGUAUAGAAAG